GGGAGGGACAGAGGAGAGGAGAACCGCGGGCCGCGGAUGAGACGGGCUGUGCCGGCCGACCCUCGGGGGCCCGUUGCCCUCCCACCGGGCUCAGGCCUCAGUUUCCCCUGUCGCACCAUCGCCUCCCCCCACCCCGACUCUCACUCCCGCCGGCCUUCGCACACCCGCUUCUCCCGGGGACCAGCGGUUUGGAACCUCCGAGAGGCGUCGAGGGCACUCGUGAGCCAAGCCCAGUGCUCACGGCCCCAGGACAGCUCGGGACUUCCCCCUCCCACCUAGGACGACCUACCAGACACGGAGAGCAGCGCGGAGGAGCUGGGGCCGAGUCCUGGAAGGGAGAGCUAAGGGUCUUCACACGGUCUUCCCUGCUGGUAUCCAGUAUGGAUCUUAACAGAGCCCAGCCUACCUGGGGAAAGGACAGUAUUCAACCCUAGCCCUCGUUAGCCUUCCAGUCUCACUCAGAGAGAAAAAUACCCUGGCCUUACCAACAGAGGAGCAAGGACAGGGUUACAGCAGACUUCUCAGAAACCAUGCAAGCAAGAGAGUGGGAGGAAAUAUUCAAACGGUUGAAAGAGUUCUUUACCCAGCGAAAUUAUACAUCAGACAUGAAAGAAAUAAAGACUUCCUCACACAAACAAAAACUGAGGGUGUUUCUCACUGGUAGAGCAGCCCUGAAAGAAUUGUAAAGAGAAGUUCUUCAGAGAGAAGGAAAAUGAUACAGGUCAAAAUUCAGAUCUACAUAAAUAAUGAAGAACAUUAAUGAAAGAAUAAAUGAAGGUAAAAUAAAGUCUGUGUUUCCAGUAUGCUUAGCUGAUCUAUCAGUUUGCUCAAAAUAAUGAAAUCAGCAUCAGGUGAUUGUAGCUUGUGGGUAGGAAAUGAGUGGUGACAGUGUGUGUGAGAUGGAGGAAGACUGGGGAUAUGCUGGUCAUAGGGCUUUUGUGCUGCCUACGAAGUUCUGGAGUGUUAUUUGAAAAUGGAUUUAGAUUGAUUGUAAAAGUAGAUUGUAAACUCUAGGGAAACCACUAAAGCAUUUAAAAAAAGACAUAUAAUUGAUAUGUUAAGAGAAUAAGAGAAAUUUGAAAAUCAUAUAAAGUACUCAAAACCAGAGAAGGUGGAAAAAGAGUGGAGGACAAAAAAAAAAAA
Vicugna pacos (alpaca) is the source of this 1143-nucleotide non-coding RNA. The record is from RefSeq and is a predicted model, not a curated record. Lineage: Eukaryota; Metazoa; Chordata; Mammalia; Artiodactyla; Camelidae.